UAGGUAGUCUCAUGUUGUUGGGU
This 23-nucleotide microRNA is filed under the name Tetraodon nigroviridis (spotted green pufferfish). RNAcentral's name for it is "Tni-Mir-196-P1b_5p (mature (guide))". The record is from RNAcentral. Lineage: Eukaryota; Metazoa; Chordata; Actinopteri; Tetraodontiformes; Tetraodontidae.